CGCCGCUUGAGGCCGGGACGCCCCCUGCUUUCAUACGGCAGGGGUCGCAGGUUCGAACCCUGCACCGCCCACCA
Molecule: transfer RNA, 74 nt
Filed under: Aquabacterium sp.
Lineage: Bacteria; Pseudomonadati; Pseudomonadota; Betaproteobacteria; Burkholderiales; Sphaerotilaceae
Description: tRNA-Met
Source: RNAcentral